Long non-coding RNA from Drosophila arizonae, 106 nucleotides. Lineage: Eukaryota; Metazoa; Arthropoda; Insecta; Diptera; Drosophilidae. The record is from RefSeq and is a predicted model, not a curated record.
CAGCCGCUGCCUGGCUCUCAUUACUCUCGCAUUCAGAUUGCAAAUCUGUGCUACGUUUAGUUAAUUUUAUAGUAUUAUUAUUAUUAUUAUUUUUGUUUUUGUUGUU